Molecule: ribosomal RNA, 379 nt
Filed under: uncultured cyanobacterium
Lineage: Bacteria; Bacillati; Cyanobacteriota
Description: bacterial SSU rRNA
Rfam family: Bacterial small subunit ribosomal RNA
Source: RNAcentral
CGAAAGCCUGACGGAGCAACGCCGCGUGCGGGACGACGGCCUGUGGGUUGUAAACCGCUUUUCUCAGGGAAGAAGAUCUGACGGUACCUGAGGAAUCAGCAUCGGCUAACUCCGUGCCAGCAGCCGCGGUAAGACGGAGGAGGCAAGCGUUAUCCGGAAUUAUUGGGCGUAAAGCGUCCGCAGGUGGCGAUUCAAGUCUGCUGUCAAAGCACGGGGCUUAACUCCGUUAAGGCAGUGGAAACUGAAUGGCUAGAGUGCCGUAGGGGUAGAGGGAAUUCCCGGUGUAGCGGUGAAAUGCGUAGAGAUCGGGAAGAACAUCGGUGGCGAAAGCGCUCUACUGGGCCGCGACUGACGCUGAGGGACGAAAGCUAGGGGAGCG